CAAUAGCGUAUAUUAAAGUUGUUGCAGUUAAAAAGCUCGUAGUUGGACUUCUGGCUUGGUGAGGUGGUCCGCCGCAAGGUGUGCACUGUUUUGUCGAGCCUUCUUCUCGUAGUUGGUGGGUGCACUUAACUGGGCGCCUAUUGAAUAUGGGACCUUUACUUUGAAAAAAUUAGAGUGUUCAAAGCAGGCCUUCGCUUGAAUACAUUAGCAUGGAAUAAUAGAAUAGGACUUUGGUUCUAUUUUGUUGGUUUCUAGGACCGAAGUAAUGAUUAAUAGGGACAGUUGGGGGCAUUAGUAUUUAAUUGUCAGGAGGUAGAAUUCUUGGUAUUUAUAGAAAGAACUAACUACUGACG
Molecule: ribosomal RNA, 353 nt
Filed under: uncultured eukaryote
Lineage: Eukaryota
Description: bacterial SSU rRNA
Rfam family: Eukaryotic small subunit ribosomal RNA
Source: RNAcentral